This 467-nucleotide ribosomal RNA is filed under the name uncultured bacterium. Its description in RNAcentral is "partial 16S ribosomal RNA". It matches the Rfam family "Bacterial small subunit ribosomal RNA", at positions 28 to 507 of the family's 1533-position model. The record is from RNAcentral.
GAUGAACGCUGGCGGCGUGCUUAACACAUGCAAGUCGAACGGUGAAGCAGAGCUUGCUCUGUGGAUCAGUGGCGAACGGGUGAGUAACACGUGAGCAACCUGCCCCUGACUCUGGGAUAAGCGCUGGAAACGGCGUCUAAUACUGGAUAUGAGCUGCGACCGCAUGGUCAGCAGUUGGAAAGAUUUUUCGGUCUGGGAUGGGCUCACGGCCUAUCAGCUUGUUGGUGAGGUAAUGGCUCACCAAGGCGUCGACGGGUAGCCGGCCUGAGAGGGUGACCGGCCACAAUGGGACUGAGACACGGCCCAGACUCCUACGGGAGGCAGCAGGGGGGAAUAUUGCACAAUGGGCGAAAGCCUGAUGCAGCAACGCCGCGUGAGGGAUGACGGCCUUCGGGUUGUAAACCUCUUUUAGCAGGGAAGAAGCGAAAGUGACGGUACCUGCAGAAAAAGCGCCGGCUAACUACGUG